GACAACCUUCUGUGGUAAGGGGUGAACAUCCUUGGGAAGCCACAGAGAGCAAGGCGCAGUUUUUCAUUGAUCACCACUUUCAAGAUGCUCCCAGAAUCGUGCUGUCUAGGAAGCCAUUUAAACUGGUGAGAAGCCAUCCUCUCUUGAAUGGGGGCUCCCACUGUACAUCUGGCACCCACUUCACAGAUUCUGGGGGAUGUCAACACCAGCACUGCUGAGCUGUGUGACCUUGAGCAAGACAGUUAGCCUCUCUGAACCUCAGUGUCCUUCUCUGUAGGCUGGAGAUUGAUAUACCUUCAUUAUCGGGGUAUGAGAGUGUUAUAAGGUGGGAUGGUGGAACACGCUGACUGGUCUGGGCUAUUCAAGAUCCAUGAACUGGAAGAUGCUUUCUUAUAACUCAGAGAAAAGAGAUGAAAAUGAAUCAAAGAACAGGAAGGAGACAAGCUCAGGAGAGUCACCCUAAGAAGGAUGUGUGGAAGACUUGACUGGAGGAUCAAAAUGUGUCGGGGGAAGGUGUACAAGGAGGAGUAAGGACACAGAUGUCCUGACUUCACACAGUGGGGGAUUAGAAGCCACCAUCAAACACAGAUGAAACAGGAAUAAAAGUAGUAGUACAUUACUUAAGCUUUAAAAGGGUAAGACUCCUGGGAAUUUGGAAGCUGAGACUUGAGGCAAGUAUUUAGGAUUUGCUGUCUCACCUCCCUGCUAUGACAGUCCUUAAUUAAUGGAGAUGAUGGAGAACAGCUUGCUGGGCUGAGUGGCAGGAGCCAUGCAGCUGCUGGGGCUGGAGUGGGUCAGGAAGCUUCAUCAAUCUGGGACACAUGACGUGCUUGGUGGUGGCGGAGCCUGACGCAUCCCUCUUCAUCGACAUUGUGUCAAUAGGAGCAGAGGCAUUUAGCUGUGUAAACACAGAGCUUCAGUGGCAGCACCCUAAAUGCUUAGCUGAUAGAUCCGGAAUUAAAUACAGACCUAGAAACUGGAGUUGGAAAACUUCCUGGCAGCACUCCUUCCCUGCCAUCCCGGUGAUCCCCUUCUGGAUGGAGGGUGUGGAGCUCAGCACAUUCACGUCUGCAGUUCUCAGAGAACCAAGUGUUAAGGAAUGUCAGGGAAGGAAGAAGGCAGCCAGCCAGGAAGGGGAGGUCCUGGCCUGAGCACGCCAGGCACAGAGGGAUAGAGGGUAGGGAGGAAACUGCACCUGUCUCCAACCCUCGACCCCAGCCCCGAAACACGACAUUGGCUGAAACAGAUUAAAAGCAUAAAAUGGCCCAAAGAAAUGGGAGAAGGUUGGCCUCUGGUCGGGCAAACAUGAGGGCAUGAAGAUAUAUAAUGUCCCACACGGGAGGAAACCCUUGCCGGGCCCCUCAGGAUUUAUAACAAGCUCACCUGAAGGAGAAACUUCAGGGGCACUUACACCAUCAGAUACCUAGAAAGGAGCUGUCAUUUCCUCACUGAAGAGUUUGCAAGCAGAUGGUAAAAGGGGUUUAAUUUGAAAACACUGAAACAUCGUGUUCGCUCAAAACCAUGACAAUUGCAGUUUUAUUGUCUCCACUCAGGAAAAUGUGUGUCUGGAUCAUCUUGUGGCCCGAAUGGGGAGAAAAGCAGCACAAGAAUGGAAUAGUACAGUGGCUACGAACACAGAAACCACACUCCAGGCCCAGUCCCCGGCAGUGGCCUCCAGGACCCACUCUGAGCUAGAUCACAUCAGUGAUGGGCUGGCCAAUCUUUAAGGAGAAUGACUCUACUCUUAGGAAGCCAGCAGGUUGGAGGAGGAAACACAUUCAAAUCCCGAGCACAAGGAGCUGGGAGAAGACCGGUUAUGGGAGCGGCAUUCCUGGAAGCUCUGAAGUCACAGCCCCACUGAUGAAAGGAUGUAAGAACCUAAGAGUGGAAACCUGCCCCUGGGAUUCAUAUGGUGUCCCCUCAGGACUCAAACCCUGGUCUGGUAUGCUCAGUAAAUGAAUGAAUAUACCCACUACACCCCAGGUUAUUUUUUUUCUGAAGACAUCGUUUGACACAGAGGGAACACUGUAGAUAAGAAGCCCAACCCUGUUAGAAAGCAGAAGGGUUUGUUUGGGAAAAGGAAACAAAAUAUAUUUUUAAGCUCCAUAAACAUAUGAUGAAUGCUAACAAGGUAUUUUCAAAAUAAGAAGCACAUAGAAACAGCUUAUGUUUCUGGUCAAAUGAAGUUGUAAUCAAAUCGUUAUCAAAGCAAAAAAAAAGAGAGGAAGAAAUCAAAAUGAGUCAGAAGAGUUUUUGGAAAGAUUCAGCAACUUAACUGACUUGAAGAGAUUUCCCUUGUCUCAGUCUUACUGCUGCUUCUAGGGGAACACAGUUUUGCACGGGAAUCGAGGCCAACUUGCAACCCACAGGCACUCUGGAGGAACAAAGAAAGUAUCGCCUGCAACUCACCACGGUCUCUCUCUCUUAAGCCCUUGCUCUUGCCAGAAGAAGUUUCACACAAAGGUUUGCCUGCGAGGCUGCGCUUUCCUCUCCAGAUCAGCAGAAACAACUUACCAGCAGAAAUACUUAAUGACGGAGCCAAGACUGGCACAGCCACGCGGUCACAGCUUUGUUCCCAAGAAGCAAGCCAAUUAGCAGCCCUGGUUAUUAUUUACAUUUCCCGCAAUAUAUCACUAAAAUUGUGUUGAUGAUUUAUCAUUUAUAUUAUGUUAUUGUCAGCAUAAUUUAUUCAGAUCAUGCUGAGAUACCUGGAAAAUUAAGUAAAAGAAAAAGAAGUGGCAUUGAAUUCAUCGGGUUUGAAAGAUAUUUCUCAGCUUCUUUUUUCUCUCCCUCUCUUUCUCUCUCUCUCUCUCUUUUAAUGAGGAUAGAUGUUAAGAAAAAUCAUGGAUCACUUAGCUAUUAAAUUGUUCCAGGAUCAUCUGCAUUAAAAGUUUGCUCAGUAUUCUUUUGUGAGAGAACAUGGCUUGGGCGUUCAUUUGGAUUUUCUUCUGGAACCUUUUCUUUCAGUCUAUUAUUUCAAAGUAAAAAAAAAAGGAAAUGCAAUCCUCUUUAGUUUAGAGCAAAGCAGAGUGGAUUAAUGAGGGGCUGGAGGCUUCUCUUCCAAUUUAUAAAACAUCCUUAUCUUCUGCCUUAUAUUCUAUUUGCCCCACCCUCUGGGAAAUAAUUGUUGCUUAUCAGAAUUAGAGAUAAAAUAUUCCAGUUGUUGAAGCCAUUCAUCAUCUAGGCAUUCUAGAAAAGCAGUUACUGAACUAGAGGCAGCAUUUUGAGCAUCAGAGCUCUGGGUUCUAGUCCCAGGUCUGUCCAGGCUUUGUGUGAUUCCAGGAGUCACUGAAGCUAUCCUGCUUCUGUUUCCCCAGCAGUGGGAUUCAUGGAUGUCCAGGAUCAGGCUUGCUGGGUCUGCCCCAGGUCUUCAGAAUCAGACUGCCUGGGGAAGGCACAUGGAGGUCUUUUUGACAGGUGUCAUAGGUGAUACUUCUACACACUUCAGUUAGAAAAGUCAUUGGGCUUACAUAUGCCUGCAGCCACUUCCAGCUCCAGUCUUCCUAGAGUUCUACGGACUCUAAUUAUAUGGCAUGUUUUGCAUAUUUCUGAAACUUCAUAUGGGAAACAAACUUUUGGAAAUUGAUUCAUUUAAGAAUCUGUGGCCAGGCGUGGUGGCUCACGACUGUAAUCCCAGCACUUUGGGAGGCUGA
This 3653-nucleotide long non-coding RNA is filed under the name Homo sapiens (human). Its description in RNAcentral is "HSALNT0397350". Lineage: Eukaryota; Metazoa; Chordata; Mammalia; Primates; Hominidae. The record is from RNAcentral.